RNAcentral lists this ribosomal RNA (465 nucleotides) under Vreelandella stevensii. Its description in RNAcentral is "partial 16S ribosomal RNA". It matches the Rfam family "Bacterial small subunit ribosomal RNA", at positions 338 to 795 of the family's 1533-position model. Lineage: Bacteria; Pseudomonadati; Pseudomonadota; Gammaproteobacteria; Oceanospirillales; Halomonadaceae. The record is from RNAcentral.
CCUACGGGGGGCAGCAGUGGGGAAUAUUGGACAAUGGGGGGAACCCUGAUCCAGCCAUGCCGCGUGUGUGAAGAAGGCCCUCGGGUUGUAAAGCACUUUCAGUGAGGAAGAACGCCUGGUGGUUAAUACCCAUCAGGAAAGACAUCACUCACAGAAGAAGCACCGGCUAACUCCGUGCCAGCAGCCGCGGUAAUACGGAGGGUGCGAGCGUUAAUCGGAAUUACUGGGCGUAAAGCGCGCGUAGGUGGCUUGAUAAGCCGGUUGUGAAAGCCCCGGGCUCAACCUGGGAACGGCAUCCGGAACUGUCAAGCUAGAGUGCAGGAGAGGAAGGUAGAAUUCCUGGUGUAGCGGUGAAAUGCGUAGAGAUCGGGAGGAAUACCAGUGGCGAAGGCGGCCUUCUGGACUGACACUGACACUGAGGUGCGAAAGCGUGGGUAGCAAACAGGAUUAGAUACCCCGGUAGUC